GAUGAACGCUGGCGGCGUGCCUAAUACAUGCAAGUCGAGCGAACGGACGAGAAGCUUGCUUCUCUGAUGUUAGCGGCGGACGGGUGAGUAACACGUGGAUAACCUACCUAUAAGACUGGGAUAACUUCGGGAAACCGGAGCUAAUACCGGAUAAUAUUUUGAACCGCAUGGUUCAAAAGUGAAAGACGGUCUUGCUGUCACUUAUAGAUGGAUCCGCGCUGCAUUAGCUAGUUGGUAAGGUAACGGCUUACCAAGGCAACGAUGCAUAGCCGACCUGAGAGGGUGAUCGGCCACACUGGAACUGAGACACGGUCCAGACUCCUACGGGAGGCAGCAGUAGGGAAUCUUCCGCAAUGGGCGAAAGCCUGACGGAGCAACGCCGCGUGAGUGAUGAAGGUCUUCGGAUCGUAAAACUCUGUUAUUAGGGAAGAACAUAUGUGUAAGUAACUGUGCACAUCUUGACGGUACCUAAUCAGAAAGCCACGGCUAACUACGUGCCAGCAGCCGCGGUAAUACGUAGGUGGCAAGCGUUAUCCGGAAUUAUUGGGCGUAAAGCGCGCGUAGGCGGUUUUUUAAGUCUGAUGUGAAAGCCCACGGCUCAACCGUGGAGGGUCAUUGGAAACUGGAAAACUUGAGUGCAGAAGAGGAAAGUGGAAUUCCAUGUGUAGCGGUGAAAUGCGCAGAGAUAUGGAGGAACACCAGUGGCGAAAGCGACUUUCUGGUCUGUAACUGACGCUGAUGUGCGAAAGCGUGGGGAUCAAACAGGAUUAGAUACCCUGGUAGUCCACGCCGUAAACGAUGAGUGCUAAGUGUUAGGGGGUUUCCGCCCCUUAGUGCUGCAGCUAACGCAUUAAGCACUCCGCCUGGGGAGUACGACCGCAAGGUUGAAACUCAAAGGAAUUGACGGGGACCCGCACAAGCGGUGGAGCAUGUGGUUUAAUUCGAAGCAACGCGAAGAACCUUACCAAAUCUUGACAUCCUUUGACAACUCUAGAGAUAGAGCCUUCCCCUUCGGGGGACAAAGUGACAGGUGGUGCAUGGUUGUCGUCAGCUCGUGUCGUGAGAUGUUGGGUUAAGUCCCGCAACGAGCGCAACCCUUAAGCUUAGUUGCCAUCAUUAAGUUGGGCACUCUAAGUUGACUGCCGGUGACAAACCGGAGGAAGGUGGGGAUGACGUCAAAUCAUCAUGCCCCUUAUGAUUUGGGCUACACACGUGCUACAAUGGACAAUACAAAGGGCAGCGAAACCGCGAGGUCAAGCAAAUCCCAUAAAGUUGUUCUCAGUUCGGAUUGUAGUCUGCAACUCGACUACAUGAAGCUGGAAUCGCUAGUAAUCGUAGAUCAGCAUGCUACGGUGAAUACGUUCCCGGGUCU
This 1372-nucleotide ribosomal RNA is filed under the name uncultured bacterium. Its description in RNAcentral is "bacterial SSU rRNA". It matches the Rfam family "Bacterial small subunit ribosomal RNA", at positions 28 to 1381 of the family's 1533-position model. The record is from RNAcentral.